UAGGGAAUCUUCCACAAUGGACGCAAGUCUGAUGGAGCAACGCCGCGUGAGUGAAGAAGGUUUUCGGAUCGUAAAGCUCUGUUGUUGGUGAAGAAGGAUAGAGGUAGUAACUGGCCUUUAUUUGACGGUAAUCAACCAGAAAGUCACGGCUAACUACGUGCCAGCAGCCGCGGUAAUACGUAGGUGGCAAGGGUUGCCCGGAUGUAUUUGGCGUAAAGCGAGCGCAGGCAGAAGGAUAAGUCUGAUGUGAAAGCCCUCGGCUUAACCGAGGCACUGCAUCGGAAACUGUUUUUCUUGAGUGCAGAAGAGGAGAGUGGAAUUCCAUGUGUAGCGGUCGAAUGCGUAGAUAUAUGGAAGAACACCAGUGGCGAAGGCGACUCUCUGGUCUGCAACUGACGCUGAGGCUCGAAAGCAUGGGUAGCGAACAGG
Molecule: ribosomal RNA, 429 nt
Filed under: bacterium
Lineage: Bacteria
Description: partial 16S ribosomal RNA
Rfam family: Bacterial small subunit ribosomal RNA
Source: RNAcentral